UAUGUACUCUCUCCGUCUCAAAAUUCUUGUCAUAAAUUUGUCUAGAUACGAAUAUAUCUAAUACUAAAACGUAACUAGAUACAUCUAUAUCUAGACAAUUAAGACAAAAAUUUUGGGACGAAGGGAGUAUUAA
Molecule: non-coding RNA, 133 nt
Organism: Triticum aestivum (bread wheat)
Lineage: Eukaryota; Viridiplantae; Streptophyta; Magnoliopsida; Poales; Poaceae
Source: Rfam